GGGUGAUAAGCUCCCGCAUCGAUCCUUGCGGUAUGCAUAGUCGCUUAUCUCGGAAUAAGUAGCCGUCAUGCUUGUAGUAGGGUCCGAAAGCUGCCUUGUCACAUUCCUUGAAAAUGGAUCCAAAGUCGGUAUCUUCUAGAUAAGCAAUAUUCACGUGUUCAAACCCUAAAACUUUAGCCUCCAUGGUAGUGAUGAGAGCAUGUCGACGUGAAAGUGCAUCCGCUACAAUGUUUUCUUUUCCUUUCUUGUAUUUGAUGAUGUACGGAAAAGUCUCUACGAACUCUAGCCACCGUGC
This 295-nucleotide long non-coding RNA is filed under the name Capsella rubella. Its description in RNAcentral is "long non-coding RNA (CRUB_LNC002219)". Lineage: Eukaryota; Viridiplantae; Streptophyta; Magnoliopsida; Brassicales; Brassicaceae. The record is from RNAcentral.